RNAcentral lists this non-coding RNA (103 nucleotides) under human gut metagenome. Its description in RNAcentral is "THF riboswitch". It matches the Rfam family "THF (Tetrahydrofolate) riboswitch aptamer". From Rfam's summary of the family: THF riboswitch presents a pseudoknot that joins P1-P2 and the loop of P3 and two THF binding. The record is from RNAcentral.
GCAGAGUAGAUUUUCAGGCGUAAAGUGCUGUGGGGACGGGGAGUUGCCCCAUGGACGAAAAGCCGGGUAUCCGGCUUGCGGUCUGAAGGUCGCAUCCCGCUGU